Molecule: long non-coding RNA, 1973 nt
Organism: Passer domesticus (house sparrow)
Lineage: Eukaryota; Metazoa; Chordata; Aves; Passeriformes; Passeridae
Exons: 2
Source: RefSeq, a predicted model, not a curated record
GGCUGUCACAGACUGCUGGACUGGGGCAGGAGUCCUGCCAGACAGGCUGCCAUGGCAGUGGCGGAGGUGAUGGGAGCGGGCAUGCAUUUUCCAUGGAAAACAAAACUGAGUCACUGGCCCAGCCUGAAGGAUAAUUUUAGUGCAGAGGGUGAAACCCAACCCUCUCCUUCAGCGUGACAUGGGCUGUGACGCAGAGCUGGCAACUCAGCUGCUGCUGUUUCAGGAACGUCAAAGCUGUUUAUCAGGCCUGGGCAAGCGUGGGAAAAACCUUGGCGGGGAGCAGGGUGAGCCCAGCAGGUUUUCCUUUCAUUUCUGCUCCUUCCCUUUUGCUCAUGAGCCCCUUUGCCUGGCGUCAUGGAAGCCUGAGCUGAGCCCAAUUAAUGGUGACGGCCGGGCGCUGAGGGCGUGAGCAACACCCCCGUGCAUGGAGUGAGCGCGCAGGGCACAAAGGUUAAGGAGUAAGCUACUGAUGAUCCUGUGACCUGCCUUUCUGUCAUGUGGGAACAUGAUGCAGUUUGCCUCCAGCAUCAGUUUGUGACCAAGGAUGCAGAAGAUGCAGGAUGUGAUACAACAGACAUGCCAACACCUCUCAUCAACUGGUAUUUUGGGACAGCAGCAAUUGCACAUGAGGCAACUCUGGUCUCUCUGUUGAACAACCACAUGUAGUUCAGUGUAUGUUGCUCACAUAUGACUCGCACUGCCCUUGCUCUUGAGACAGAACUGCUGGCAAAAUAAACAGGUCAAGUGUAGCUCAGAUACAUCAGGUAUAUAAAUGCUCAAUUCCUACUGAAAUAAAUGCAAGUGAAGGCUGCAAACACUGUUCGGAAGUGGACUUCACUGAUGUUAGGAAGUAAAGGGUAGUGGGAAAAGAGAUGUGAGUUUGCAAGAAGUGUAAGCACUAAAACGUAACUAACUUCAAAGUGAGAAACACACUGAUUUUGUUAAUGUCCCAAAAUAAGAAUGUCAAACUGUUCAGAGAUUUCUUGACUAAAACUGACUUUGACAAUGGAUUAUCGUGUUUCUUCCUAUGUUGUUCAUGAAAGUUGGCAUUCCCUGGUAAAUGGCAGCACUCCCAUGGUGUGCAGCAUGCCUUGAGGCAGCAAAAUCUGUCCCUAAUACUAGAGUUAAGCAAACUGUUAAAAUAGGAACUGAACCAAAUGCCCAGAUCUCCUCCCCAAACUCAAACUAAACCUUUCUUUGAGGUUCAGGAAUGUUUGGUUAACUUUAAAUUAAACAAUGUUGUGUUUCUACACAUCCUGCUUUCAGAGAAGACUCCAAACAGAAACAGAAAAAUAUGGCAGGCACAUCUAUGUUUGCACUAUUUCUGGCCCAGCUGAAACCAGGAAACACUGUAAAUCUCACAAAAUCAGCUUUGCCUCACACACUAUCCAGCUACCAGGUUCUGUUGCUGUAAGCCCACAGAAUACAAUAUAACUGAUGUACAUACCAAUUUAUUAUUAAUUUUUCACCAAAUAACUGUGAUAAACAAGCUUCCCAGACUAUUAGACAUAUGAACCCCACAUUUUUAUUCAAUUGUGGCAGCAUAUUAUAUAGCUACCUUAUAUUCCUUUUAUGCUCCUUCUCAUUGAGUCACUGGCGUAGUUGCUUAAAGACAAGAUGUCUCUUGUGGUACAUGACAACAAACCAAAGCACAUCAUAGCAAAGAUAACAAACCAGGCAUACGCACGUUGUGCUUCAUAUUUGGUUUGUGGCUAAUUCAAAAUACGUAAUCCUAAAUUUUGCUGCUUGGUAUCUCUUUGACAACUCUCUGCAUUGGAUUUGUAGAGCAUAAAUAUGAAGACAACAGCAUUGUUUUAGAGGAACAUAUUUAGCCAUAUAAAAUUGCCCUGCAAGUCAGGGCAAAAAUUUUAAAGCACUUUUUGUGUACUGUAACAGAAUUUUGCAAAUUUGCAAAUUCAUAUUAAAAGAAACACUUAAUGCUCUUGCUAGAAACUGUAUCACUGUCAGCAAAA